RNAcentral lists this ribosomal RNA (498 nucleotides) under uncultured bacterium. Its description in RNAcentral is "partial 16S ribosomal RNA". It matches the Rfam family "Bacterial small subunit ribosomal RNA", at positions 28 to 507 of the family's 1533-position model. The record is from RNAcentral.
GACGAACGCUGGCGGCGUGCCUAAUACAUGCAAGUCGAGCGAACCAAUAAGAAUCUUGCUUUUUGUUGGUUAGCGGCGCACGGGUGAGUAACACGUGGGUACCCUGCCUGUAAGACCGGGAUCACUCCGGGAAACCGGUGCUAAUACCGGAUAGAUUAUCUUUCCGCAUUGAGAGAUAAGGAAAGAUGGCUAUUGCCAUCACUUACAGAUGGGCCCGCGGCGCAUGAGCUAGGUUGUGGGGUAACGGCUUACCUAGGCGGCGAUGCGUAGCCGACCGGAGGGGCUGGUAGGCGACAUUGGGACGUAGACACGGACCAGAGGCCUGCGCGAGGGCGCAGUCGCGUAUCGUCAGCAAUGGUCGGAAGUCUGGCGGAGCGAGCGCGAGUGAGAGGAGGAGGUCUUGGGAUCGUAAAGCUCGGUUGUUAGGGAAAAACAGGUAUCGGAUGAAAUGCCGGUACCUUGACGGUACCUGGCGAGAAAGCCACGGCUAACUACGUG